RNAcentral lists this ribosomal RNA (253 nucleotides) under uncultured bacterium. RNAcentral's name for it is "partial 16S ribosomal RNA". It matches the Rfam family "Bacterial small subunit ribosomal RNA", at positions 524 to 776 of the family's 1533-position model. The record is from RNAcentral.
UACAGGGGGUGCAAACGUUGCUCGGAAUCAUUGGGCGUAAAGCGCACGUAGGCGGUCUGUUAUGUCGGAUGUGAAAGCCCUUGGCUCAACUGAGGAAGUGCAUCCGAAACUGGCAGGCUAGAGUACUAAAGAGGGUCGCGGAAUUCCCGGUGUAGAGGUGAAAUUCGUAGAUAUCAGGAGGAACACCGGUGGCGAAGGCGGGUCUCUGGGCCGAUAUUGACGCUGAGGAGCGAAAGCGUGGGGAGCAAACAGG